RNAcentral lists this ribosomal RNA (253 nucleotides) under uncultured bacterium. RNAcentral describes it as "partial 16S ribosomal RNA". It matches the Rfam family "Bacterial small subunit ribosomal RNA", at positions 524 to 776 of the family's 1533-position model. The record is from RNAcentral.
UACGUAGGUGGCGAGCGUUGUCCGGAAUUACUGGGUGUAAAGCGCGUGUAGGCGGGAGGCCAAGUCUGCGGUGAAAUCGCUCGGCUCAACUGGGCGGGGUCCGUGGAAACUGGUCACCUGGAGGACGGUAGAGGCGAGUGGAAUUCCCGGUGUAGUGGUGAAAUGCGUAGAGAUCGGGAGGAACACCAGUGGCGAAGGCGGCUCGCUGGGCCGGACCUGACGCUGAGACGCGAAGGCGUGGGGAGCAAACGGG